Long non-coding RNA from Clarias gariepinus (North African catfish), 1752 nucleotides. RefSeq lists it as uncharacterized. The record is from RefSeq and is a predicted model, not a curated record. NCBI's taxonomy places the organism in Eukaryota, Metazoa, Chordata, Actinopteri, Siluriformes, Clariidae. The transcript has 3 exons.
CUUUGUUGUUGUGCAUGCAUUAUGAUGUAAUUAGUGUCAUAUAAAUAUUUUAAAGUUAGUCAGAUGAUGAGUUGUUGUCCUUAGUUCCCGAUUGUAGUUAUGUAUAAAGUGUAUAACACACUGGAACUGUUCCACUAGCUUGGAAUGCUGCUGGUACUCUUCAUCACUGUGUGUUAUGUAAUGCUGUUUUUUUUUUUUUGAAUGUUGCAGCACAGAAAUGUUUCAUCUCUUAAAGGGACAGUACUGUCUUCAUGUCCUCACAAUAAUUUUGUCAAAAACUAUCACAAUUUACUUUCCAACUGUAAUAAAGUAGAGACGUUGUAAGUUAUUUGAUUUUGAUUUAAUUUGAGAUGGCAAAAUGUUGACCUUCGUCUAUAUUCCUACAGGUUCUAUGCUGUUGGUAGGCAGUACGGUCCAUGGUGAUUUUUUUUAACGACACCCUGAAUACCUGCGAUUACAGAAAAAUUUUACCUGCCAAGCACUUCCUUUAUAAAAGUCUUCAUACACAGUGUAGUAUUUAUUAGUAUUUAGUAGUUUAUUGGAUACGGCUGGAUUUAACAAUUUCCCAUUCAGUAUGAAGAGGCAUGAAUCACUUAGAAACUUUUACAUUCCAACUUAAUAAUAAUUUAAGAAGUGUACUACAUCUCAAAAUCGUGAUUGAUAUUUUUUAAUGUUUUGGAUUUUUUAUGCACUAUAAAGCACUUCUUGAGCAAGGCAUUGCAAUUUUCUUGAGAUCAUACCAUCUGGGUAUAUGAACGUGUGAAAGUCCCCUGUGUCCACAUAUAAUCAGGAAGGUUGCAAGUUUGUGGUUAAAAAAAACCCCUCUGCAAUACAUGGAAAUAAAGAUGCACAGGCCAUGCUAAUAUAUAUUUUAAGUUUUAUUAUUAUGUGCUGUGUUGGAUAAUUUACUAUUUUACAAUAAUAAAGCUGCACUUAUUGUAUGCUCAUUUAUUUAAUUCAGUAACUUUGUGAGAUCUUAAACAUUCACAUCUUGAACAUUCAGGUUUCCUGUGGAAGAGAUGGUUUUUAGUUCACUCUGAGUCAAAAGGAAGCAUUUACACUUUGCUUUUCUUUUUAUCAAGCUAUCAUCAUCAUCAUCAUCAUCAUCAUCAUCGCCACCAUCACUAUUAGAAGUCAUGUCCUCUCAUUCGCUCCUGAUGAUUCUGCUAGUUCUCACCUGCCUUCAGUCCAUCACAACAGCCAGCAAUGUACAUGAACCAGAAGAAUGCUGUUUCAAAUUCCAAAGGAAGAGAGUCCCUGUAAGGCUCAUUACAGGGUAUAAAGUAACUGGAGCUGACUGUCCAAAAGCUGGGAUCAUUUUUAACCUGAGGGAUGGACAUCGGUAUUGUAUAGAACGCAGAGGUGUAUGGUUGCAGAGACAAAUGGAUAUAAUUGACGAUUACCUUUAUGAAAGCCUGAACUAACCUCGACUUUGAGCGAUCAUAGCCUCUCUCUAUUAGUACAAAAUUAGUACAAGCUGUACUUUUUAAUGUAUCAUUUUCUGGAUUUUUUUGUUUUUGUUUUGUGUGUGUGUGUGCUUGUAUAAUCUUAAAAUUAAGCUAAAAUAAUUUAGUUCAUUUAACCUACUGUAGGACGAAGUUUUUUAAAAGACAUUUUUAUUUACACAUUAUGUCUUCAAAGUCACAUGUUCACAAAUAAAUAAUCCUUGUUAUGGUGAAAUACAUGUAAUUGUUUAUACCACAUCUUAAUCAGUUAUAUGACAGUUAUCUUAAUAAAUGUAUAAAUAAAUUA